Molecule: ribosomal RNA, 146 nt
Filed under: Salmonella enterica subsp. diarizonae serovar 60:r:e,n,x,z15 str. 01-0170
Lineage: Bacteria; Pseudomonadati; Pseudomonadota; Gammaproteobacteria; Enterobacterales; Enterobacteriaceae
Description: partial 16S ribosomal RNA
Rfam family: Bacterial small subunit ribosomal RNA
Source: RNAcentral
ACUUAAAUUGAAGAGUUUGAUCAUGGCUCAGAUUGAACGCUGGCGGCAGGCCUAACACAUGCAAGUCGAACGGUAACAGAAAGCAGCUUGCUGCUUUGCUGACGAGUGGCGGACGGGUGAGUAAUGUCUGGGAAACUGCCUGAUGG